This 258-nucleotide unclassified non-coding RNA is filed under the name uncultured fungus. Its description in RNAcentral is "partial contains 5.8S ribosomal RNA, internal transcribed spacer 2, and large subunit ribosomal RNA". The stretch from base 1 to 52 matches the Rfam family "5.8S ribosomal RNA", at positions 103 to 154 of the family's 154-position model. The record is from RNAcentral. Lineage: Eukaryota; Fungi.
AACGCACAUUGCGCCCUUUGGUAUUCCGAAGGGCAUGCCUGUUCGAGCGUCAUUAUCAACCCUCAAGCUCGGCUUGUUAUUGGGCCCUUAUCGUUAAAGAUAGGCCCGAAAGAUAAUGGCGGCGUCAUAAAUGACCCCAGAUGCAGCGAGCUUAUAGCAUACAUCGAAAGGUUUUUAUGGCCCGGCCUUAACGAGAAGCAAUUCUCAAUUUAUUUAAAGGUUGACCUCGGAUCAGGUAGGAAUACCCGCUGAACUUAA